GAGUUUGAUCAUGGCUCAGGAUGAACGCUGGCGGUAUGCCUUAUACAUGCAAGUCGUACGAGAGUUUUUAACUCAAGUGGCGGACGGGUGAGUAACACGUAAGAAUGUACCUUUAGGAGGGGGACAACAACUGGAAACGGUUGCUAAUACCCCAUAUGCUUUCGAGUGAAAUGGAUUUCCGCCUAAAGAGCAGCUUGCGGCUGAUUAGCUUGUUGGUAGGGUAAUGGCCUACCAAGGCGACGAUCAGUAUCUGGUUUGAGAGGACGAUCAGACACACUGGAACUGAGACACGGUCCAGACUCCUACGGGAGGCAGCAGUAGGGAAUUUUCCGCAAUGGGCGAAAGCCUGACGGAGCAAUACCGCGUGAGGGAUGACUGCCUAUGGGUUGUAAACCUCUUUUUUCAGGGAGGAAUAA
RNAcentral lists this ribosomal RNA (416 nucleotides) under uncultured bacterium. RNAcentral describes it as "bacterial SSU rRNA". It matches the Rfam family "Bacterial small subunit ribosomal RNA", at positions 9 to 452 of the family's 1533-position model. The record is from RNAcentral.